CUGUACAUUGGGAAAGGUGCCGAAGACAUGAACUUUGGUCUUCUCUGCAAUCCCUCUGGAGCAUUCAGUGACAACGUCGACUUUGAAGUUGCACUGACCUGGCCAGCCCUGCCACUUACCAGGUUGGGCUGUGGCUUGCCUUUUCACUUCUUGUGUCCUGUUUAAGAAAUAUCUGCUAUCCCAAGAUAACACUAACAAAGUUGACCUUAGAAUUGGAGUGCCCGGGUUAGAACCUUGCUGGUACCACCUGCUUACUGCAUGCUUCUGAUGUGAGUUCAGGAGAAGCCACUGGCAAGGACAGCAAAGAACAGGAGAACACUCUAGCUUCCCUGAUAGCAUUCAAGGUGCUGUCCAAAGCUCUUGAGUUUCUGCUUUCAAGUGACCCUCAGAAAUGCCCCCAUUCACUGCAGAGGUUCUGUUUCUCCUUGUUUUGUUCCGACUUUAUGGCAGAACUAGGUUAAUGAGUUAAUUACUAUGAGUUAUCACUUGGAUUUGAAGAACCAUCAUUUCUAGGCUUUGCUGCUCAGAGUGGGUUUGCCCUCAGGGGAAGCUAUCUAACCAGAGCCUAACCCACUAGGGUUUUAUCAGAACCUAACUGGCCUGAGGAAAAGAAAUAUUCAACUCCAGCAAGCUCCAGCCUUCCAAACGGAGGAGGAGAAAACCCAAAUCCAGCCCACUUCAGCUAUCUUGUCCCACAUAAAGGGGGAGUGGAAGAAACGUGAGAAGCAGGCAUGAAGUUCACAGUCCGGAGGUACAGACACAUCAGAGUUCAGUAUCUGAUGAAUUAGAUGCAAAAUCCUCAACAAAGUAUUAGCAAAUUGAAUUCAACAAUGUAUGAAAAUUAUUACAUGCCAUGACUAAUUGGAAUUUAUCUCAGGUAUACAAGCCAUGCUGAACAUCUGAAAAUCAAUUCAUGUGAUCCAUCACAUUAGCAGAUUCAAGAAAAAAAAAACCACAUUAUCAUAUCAGUAGAUGUA
RNAcentral lists this long non-coding RNA (977 nucleotides) under Pongo abelii (Sumatran orangutan). Its description in RNAcentral is "lincRNA". Lineage: Eukaryota; Metazoa; Chordata; Mammalia; Primates; Hominidae. The record is from RNAcentral.